CGCGCGGUCGAAUUUGAAGAAGAUAACGACGAUGCCCGCUGGGCACAUGUGAUGUUUUGUUUUAAUUGAAAUACUGACGUUGUGACGUAAAUCCUUUGUUAGAAUACAGCAUACUGGAGUAAUUCAACUAGUGUAAACAAACCAUUCCCGUAAUCGCUAUUAUAUUGAAUUGCAACCUAAUUCAAUCGUUACUAUAUCGAAGAACGGAUUUUAUUAAGGUUAAGUUGGAAAUCUAUUCAAGAUGAGUCAAGAUGCAGACGCAGCGAUUCGUAAUAUGCGGGAUUUUAUGACGAUCUAUAACAAAAUGUCGGAGCAGUGUUUCGCUAAUUGUGUAAAUGAUCUUGGUCAAAGGAAAUUGUCAAAUGAUGAAUGCGUUUGUGUCGAUCGAUGCGUGACUAAGGGCAUACGGUUGAACCAUUUAAUGAUGGAUAUCUACAUGAAAUUGCAACCGGAAAUUAUUCAGAAACGCAUCAAGGAAAACGAGGCUCUACAACAAGAUAUGAUGCAAACCCAGUUACAAUCUUAGCAACAAAUACAAUAACGGCUCGAGUUUACAGCCAGCCAGUCAGCAGCUUCAACCAUAACGGAAGAACAGCUGUAGGAAAUUAAGCCUGGUAUUAAGGGCGGGCAAAAAUGGGCUACCGCUAAAAUGGGCGACCGUGUAUACCAUGUACAGUUUUGUCAAUAAUGUUGAUGAGUAACGUUGUCGAACGACUUUAAUUGUUAGGUUAAUACGGGAUGUGCGGUUGUGCUAAUGAUGUCUGCUUCUUAUUUUUCAAGGUGGAGUUAAUAGGCACAUUGCAUGUGUGUCUUAGGCAUAGGGGAAGGGAGGGGGAGGGUGAUAUAGAAUAAACGUUACAUGGAAAACUAAUAGAUAGAUGUUCAAGGAAUAGUGAUCCUGUUUCAAUAAAACAUGUAUUUGCAUGAUAAAAGAGUACGGUAGUUUCGUUUUUCUAAAGCUGAGAAGGACCUUGACGGUGGUCAAUUUCCUGAGCUAAAAGAUGAAUUUUUCAAUUUCUUGUAGCGACGUUGUUCUCCAACAUUCGAAGCAGAGAAUGUGUCACAAUCUAAAAACGCCGAACAUAUUCUUUAAAAUUUCCGUUUAUUCGAUAUUUUCUUUCAUAUGCCGUCAACAGGCAUUACGGAUUGUCUUGCUUGUCUGUUGCGCAGAAUCAUUUCAGACAAACCAAUGUGAACGUAAUCCCGUGUGUGUAAUGAAAUGUAAGCUAGAAGAAACUAAUUUAAAUGUAGCAGUGGGGCAAAAUAACUCUUUUGCAUCACUACUAAUUCUGGUGUCGUUGGUGCCAAGAAAGUUGAACUUAGGUUUGUUCUUAAGAAAACGACCAAUCAAAUCGCAUGAUAAAGAAGCACUUUACCCCUUACAAGCAUUGCACAGUCAUAAAACUAUAGCGUGUGUGUAUUUCGAUUCUUUGGACGUAACAGUAAAAACCGAUUCGUUCAUUUUCACUGCCACGUUCUCCGUAAAUUGUUCGAUGCUCUGGACGAUCUUAUCUGGUCUUCACUUUCUUUCACAUCCACACAUGUGGACCAAAACAUUUAAUGUAUUUUUAUUAUAAAAACGAAUCGCUAAUACAGAAUGUAUUAGGUUAGCUACAUUACUAGUCGACCUAUUUGCAUAAAAACCUGCCUUUUAGUGUAGGACUUAGACAGUUUGGAACUUUUGUUUAAAAAAGAAAACGCUUUGUAUAGUGUAAGACCGCUUUAAUGCAUCUAUCAAUCAUUCAUUAAAUGAAUGCUCCCAACAGUGUAUCAAUUCGUUUUGCAGCUUUUUUGAAACUGUAAUAAAUUUAAUUGUGUUCGGUGACUAAAACAGGGUUUGCUGGCUUCUGGCAAAAUUUCUGUUAGAUGUCAUAUGGUAGCGUUCGCACAACUGUAGCACUGGCCAAUCGAGUAGUAAACCAUGUUUUCUCGAAGUGAACGCUAUUGCAGGUCUACCAGUAGACUAUCACAAAAACUUAAUUCAGAGUAGUAGAAGUAGUCGGCAAAAAAUAUUGUUGAAGGUCAUUGUAAACUGCCGAGUGCUCUGCUUCAUCUUGAAGACGUCGCGGAGUGCCGAAUAGUUAAUGGAGGACCCAAGUUCCUCGAGGCGCCGGUGAAAAAUAGUUGGAACGAACAGAUAAGGUAAAAGGGAAAUGUACUGUAAAUAGUACAUGUGGACGGUGCUCCUUUAGACCAGAAGUUUCCAGGCUUCAGGUUUUGAAAGUGUAUUUUAUAAAUUUUCCUUCACGCAUUCGAUGAAAGCUACGGUUCGGAAAGGUACGGAUAAAUGCGCGAGAGCGGUGUAAUUUUGGGCAUGUGCUUAGAGCAGGAUUUUCUUUAAGUAUGCAGUAGUCUUGAUGUAUAGACCGCAGGCGAUAAAUGCUGAUUCUUUGUUAAGGUGAUGCGCGGCAUUUGGUCGAGUUUUUUCAGUCUCUGGGAAGAACGCGGACCGGGACUAGAUCUACUGGUAUGAGUACCUGAAGUGCAAGCAUAAGCUACGUGCUCGAAAAUUACUUUUUUUUCCUGUGAUUUGGUAAAUAAACAUCAUGAGGUACUUAUCGAUGCAUGCUUUGCCUUGUGUAGAACUGAUGUACUAUAUAAAGAUCUACAGAACCUAGUCAAGCUGAUUACCAUAACGAAUGAUUCCAUUUUAAUAGACAAUGACAACAUGGCCAGUUCACACACAUUGUGCAGUAUUGAUGCGUCGUUGACGGGAUCUGAAGCAGGGACGUCCCGACCUUCCAAGCUACUCGCUCAACAGAUAAACUAGUAAUUUUGUUAUUUGAAGGUAUAUUAUCUCCAGCACCAGAAUUUGUGCUCGCUAGGUACCUGCAUCGUCAUAUCUGAGACCAAGUUGUUUCUGUUUCUAUAAGCAGCAUUAGGCUAUAUUCACAAUGCAAUUCACGUUUGCUGAUGCCAUGCCGCCUACAAUGAGUUUCAUCUGUGAAUCGUCUAUCAUACAAUAGCUCAAUGUAAUGGUGGUUUCAAUCGUUUUCAGCGUUUGCUUCAGCCCAACGAGGAUACCUAACGCUUGAUAAUUUUUUUUAUUCCGGAGCUGACAGGAUGUUAUGUUGAUCCCUAUUUCCUACUAAGAUCUGGUCUACAUUAAGUCUUUCAGUUAACCGUGGACCAUUUCUUUUACUAAUAGCCGAAACUUUUGCGAAUUCCUCUAGCGCCGUAUAACAUUAUUAACACAAUUACCAAGCGAGAAGUUAUUGUACGGACAGUGAGUCCUUUUUAGGAAAGUUACUCUUAACUUAUUGCCAUUUCGCGUGCGGACUGAAUGAUAGUCAUUUUGAGCUAUAGUACUCCUGUAAUGAAAAAUAAAGGAUUGUCUAUACAGAUAGCUGGCUUUUUCGAUUGCAUAUCCAUACUACAUGACUUGAUUUCGUGAACUGCUGUCCGCACCUUUCAGCCUGCAUAAUUUUUGAAUGUAUUAAGUUACGUAAAUGUCAAUUGAUUCAGAUUUUUUUUUUCUGUAACAACACGCAUAAAAUCUUUUACAUUGGCCCUAGAAGCGUCUACAGGACUUCCACAUGUAACCUCUCUUUUAAGCACAAGUUGCGUUAGACAAAUGUUGAAUGCACUUGUGGCGCAACGUUUUUAAGGUAAGAAGCAGCACGGCUGUUGAUGAGGUCUUUCCCCGUAAAUGAUCUCCACUAUUUGCUGAUGCAUAAUAACCACGCAGUCUUACCUUAAUAACAGUUGGGAAAUGGUAAUGGAAAAAUUAUUCAAGCUUGUCCAUUGUUGUAUGAUGACAAUUGAGCUGAACAUUAAGCGUAAGUAAUGCGUGACCAUUUGAAUCAUUAAAUUAUACCGUUGUUUGUUCUCUAGCUUCAGCUGCGCAACAGGACCGAGUCUUUCCAUUGUUAAUGUUGAAAGUGCAACGCUAAAACAUGUCACUACGCGUUCCUGACACUCAAGAAUAGGACCGUUAAAGGAAUUCAAUGAGUUGCGACUGUCAAACAUGUGCUCCCUUGGAAAUAGUCCUUACCACCGAUUGUUUGUGGGCGCAUUGAUAUUGGUCGCACUGCAGACACCUGGACAUCAACAACAGGUUCGCAUCGAUAUCUGCGGCCUAAGUGUUAUCACAGAAUAACGACUCACGUAUCGCCUCGCCAAAAUAUUAACAGCGAUGUCGACGACCGGACUCACCGAUUUCCUGACGUGCGCGCUCGAGAGUGCGCCAGAGGGGACAAAGCAGAAAUGGGACAAAUUGAAAGCACUAUUCAAAGGUCGGGCUCCAGAAGAGGCAAUAGGAAAAGCCUGUCAAAGUGCGCCAACAACUGGUAUUGCCAUUAUCAACGGUUUUAUCAAUCAGCAGAGCAAAGUGGACAAGCCCAAAUUGAAGCAACUUCUGCUGGAGUGUUAUGAACAAAUUUCCUAAGCUUCAAAGGCAGAACGGGGACAGAAGAUAUUCGUACGUUUCUGAAGACCGCAGUUAACAGACCAAUGUUCAGAAUGAUUUUUAGGAAAACGAGCGCAGGAUAUGAAUAAAAGGACGCAGUUUGUUUACCUUUUUUUUUUUUUUUUUUUUUUUAAAUAAGUGCGUG
Varroa destructor (honeybee mite) is the source of this 4553-nucleotide non-coding RNA. Lineage: Eukaryota; Metazoa; Arthropoda; Arachnida; Mesostigmata; Varroidae. The record is from RefSeq and is a predicted model, not a curated record.